GAGGAAGUCUGUUCUGGAGGCACCAUGACAAAGCACCAGACAGAAAGCAGUCACGUGUGGGGAGAUGAGCAGAGACACCACUUCUCAAGCACCUGAUUAUUCUUUCUCAGUAUUUAGAAGCAAAAAUUAUCCUUAAGAAAAACAACCGCAAACGCAACACAGGCUACACAGAUGAGAAAAUGGGGUUCCCCAUCUUCGUUGAAGGCCCCACAUCAUUUGCCAUGAACUUGCAGAAUAUUUCAAGAGAGAAGGCUGAAAAGGAAGGUGACUGGAAUAUUAAGAACUGUGAGAUAUUCUGAGGAAACUCUAAUUUGUAAAUUGGUAGAAAUGCCAGUAAUUUGUUGGGAAUUGAAGACCCUCUGUAUUCAAGAGCGAAGCUUGGCAGCUGUGCACUGUUGUUUUAUAAAUCAAUAUUACAUCUG
Molecule: long non-coding RNA, 422 nt
Organism: Homo sapiens (human)
Lineage: Eukaryota; Metazoa; Chordata; Mammalia; Primates; Hominidae
Source: Ensembl